This 496-nucleotide ribosomal RNA is filed under the name uncultured bacterium. RNAcentral's name for it is "partial 16S ribosomal RNA". It matches the Rfam family "Bacterial small subunit ribosomal RNA", at positions 28 to 506 of the family's 1533-position model. The record is from RNAcentral.
GAUGAACGCUGGCGGCGUGCCUAAUACAUGCAAGUCGAGCGAACAGAUGAGGAGCUUGCUCCUCUGACGUUAGCGGCGGACGGGUGAGUAACACGUGGAUAACCUACCUAUAAGACUGGGAUAACUUCGGGAAACCGGAGCUAAUACCGGAUAAUAUAUUGAACCGCAUGGUUCAAUAGUGAAAGACGGUUUUGCUGUCACUUAUAGAUGGAUCCGCGCCGCAUUAGCUAGUUGGUAAGGUAACGGCUUACCAAGGCAACGAUGCGUAGCCGACCUGAGAGGGGGAUCGGCCACACGGGAACGGAGACCCGGUCCAGACUCCCAGGGGGGGCAGCAGUGGGAAACUUUCCGAAAUGGGGGAAAGCCUGACGGAGAAACCCCGGAUGGGUGAUGAAGGGCUUCGGUUGGUAAAACUCUUUUAUUAGGGAAAAAAAAAUGUGUAAGUAACUAUGCCCGUCUUGACGGUACCUAAUCAAAAAGCCCCGGCUAACUACGU